Molecule: small nucleolar RNA, 101 nt
Organism: Dendrobium catenatum
Lineage: Eukaryota; Viridiplantae; Streptophyta; Magnoliopsida; Asparagales; Orchidaceae
Product: small nucleolar RNA Z103
Exons: 1
Source: RefSeq, a predicted model, not a curated record
GUGGAUAUGAUGAUCCUUUACCCACAUGAUCGACUAAGAUUAUAAUGCAAAUUUCUUAUAUUUUCCCUUUCGGGAAAAUCAAGCCAGAGAUUCUGAUCCAC